Molecule: ribosomal RNA, 429 nt
Filed under: uncultured bacterium
Lineage: Bacteria
Description: bacterial SSU rRNA
Rfam family: Bacterial small subunit ribosomal RNA
Source: RNAcentral
UGGGGAAUUGUUCGCAAUGGGCGCAAGCCUGACGACGCAACGCCGCGUGGAGGAUGAAGACCUUCGGGUCGUAAACUCCUUUCGAUCGAGACGAAUGUUUUUCGGGUGAAUACUCCGGAAAAGUGACGGUACCGAGAGAAGAAGCCCCGGCUAACUCUGUGCCAGCAGCCGCGGUAAUACAGGGGGGGCAAGCGUUGUUCGGAAUUACUGGGCGUAAAGGGCUCGUAGGUGGCCAACUAAGUCAGACGUGAAAUCCCUCAGCUUAACUGGGGAACUGCGUCUGAUACUGGAUGGCUUGAGUUUGGGAGAGGGAUGCGGAAUUCCAGGUGUAGCGGUGAAAUGCGUAGAUAUCUGGAGGAACACCGGUGGCGAAGGCGGCAUCCUGGACCAACACUGACACUGAGGAGCGAAAGCCAGGGGAGCAAACGG